This 502-nucleotide ribosomal RNA is filed under the name uncultured bacterium. Its description in RNAcentral is "partial 16S ribosomal RNA". It matches the Rfam family "Bacterial small subunit ribosomal RNA", at positions 29 to 523 of the family's 1533-position model. The record is from RNAcentral.
AUUGAACGCUGGCGGCAUGCCUUACACAUGCAAGUCGAACGGCAGCACGGGUGCUUGCACCUGGUGGCGAGUGGCGAACGGGUGAGUAAUACAUCGGAACGUACCCUAUCGUGGGGGAUAACGCAGCGAAAGCUGUGCUAAUACCGCAUACGCCCUGAGGGGGGAAAGCGGGGGAUCGCAAGACCUCGCGCGAUUAGAGCGGCCGAUGCCUGAUUAGCUUGUUGGUGGGGUAAAAGCCCACCAAGGCGACGAUCAGUAGCUGGUCUGAGAGGACGAUCAGCCACACUGGGACUGAGACACGGCCCAGACUCCUACGGGAGGCAGCAGUGGGGAAUUUUGGACAAUGGGGGCAACCCUGAUCCAGCAAUGCCGCGUGAGUGAAGAAGGCCUUCGGGUUGUAAAGCUCUUUUGUCAGGGAAGAAACACCGGCUCUAACACAGUCCGGGAAUGACGGUACCUGAAGAAUAAGCACCGGCUAACUACGUGCCAGCAGCCGCCGUAA